CUUGAUAGAACAGAACACUUCACUUUUCUGUUUGUCUUCAGUGCUUGCUUGCAAAUGCUUAAUAAAUGCCUUAUUCAUUCAUCUCCCACCUUUUAGCCUUUGCGUAGCUGUCUCGAUUCCUGGAAUAUACUCUUUUCAUUUCCAUUGCCUAAAUUGUGGCAAGAUUCAGGCCAUCUGCAACUUCCUCCAGGAAGCAAUUCCUGAUUCCCCUAGUGGUUUGGGGCCCCUGAACCCCCUUCAAAUGAUCAGGUUGGGCUUAAUGAUGUUUGUGGGGUUGGACUAGAUUGGAAUUGGAUAACUGUUGAACCACCCGAGUGCUGCACGAAUACCCAAGAAUUACUGCAAAAUCCAGAGGCCUCCAAUAUGCUGAGUAGAUCUUCCAUGUAGUGGACAUAGAUAAAAUUCACAGGUCCUUCUGAUGUACAAGAGGCAGUACAGCUCAAUGAGAAUUGGAUUCAAGAGCCAGAGGACUUGGGGUCCCAUCCCAGUUCUGCCACUUGAUCAUGUAGAUCUGAUCAAGUGCCUUUCCAUGCUCAGUUUCCUACUCUAUAUAACACUAAUACUUGCCCUACCUAUCUCACAGGAGCUUUGUGAAGAUCAAAGACAAUGAAAUUAGGAAACACUACCCCAGCCUUCCCCAUCAUCACCCUCACCACCUGAUUUCUCUUGUCCCCUCUACUCACUCUUUUGAUCAAUAAUGGGACAGAGAGAGGACCUAGGAUUUCAGUGACAAAAAUGAACUCCCAGAGAGAAAAUUCCCUUUACCCUUGUAAGAUAGCAUCUUCUCAGCACUUGGAAGUAAAGUGACUUAUCCUCCUAGAACAAUCAAGGCUGAGAUGCAGGGGGGUGUGACUAAGAAGGGUUCCACAUUAGAAUUAUUCCUACACCAAAGCCCUUUUCUGAACAUACUGAUUUCUGAAAAUACAAAUAUUUAUAGAAAAUUUAGAGCUCUGCAUGUUACAUGAAAAACUUCAUCUGACCCUAUUAACAAUCAAUUCUCUAAAGCAGGUUAUAGGUGAUAUCUCUCCAUUUUACAGAUGAGUAAACCAAGGGUCAGAGUGUUUAAGUACAUUGUCACAUAAUUAGUAAGUAUCGGAGUAAGGAUAUGAACUCAGAUCUUUCUGAUUUUAAGUCUAAUCUCACUCCAGAACACCAAGAUCAGAGCCAAUGGGAUUGGAGAACAAUGAAUCUUUGCAUUUGUAAUGGGCUGAAAAGAGUACCUGAGAUUGAAUUCAAGAGCCAGUACGUGGUAGGUUCUGUUUUCCAGAGUAACAACUUUGGAGAAUGGGUGGGAUAGGAUGCCCAAGACCCAAAUGGAAACCUUCACUCCUCUCACUUGUGAGGUGACAAAGGAAACACUGCCCCCCACUUUCUUGAGAGGCUGGCACUUCUGAACUAGAAGCAGCCAUUCUGCAUCUUGGGUUUUUGUUCUUGUAUAAAAUUUGUGGAAAGGAGGAAAUAUCUCGAGGCUGCUGUUGGUUUAUUGAACCAUCAAACUACAGUACUUUCCCCCUCAUAAUAACUUAUUCUAGGUUGCAUCAGGGAGCAGCCCUCCCCUCCAAGUUGUAUAAUCAGUGAAAGAUCAACAAGAGCCUUGGGAAGGUUAUAGGGGAGAGUAGGAAAGCCUUGACUCCAGAAUCAGGUGACUAAUGGUGAAAUCCCAGAUCAAUCAUUUACUAGAUUUAC
RNAcentral lists this long non-coding RNA (1686 nucleotides) under Sarcophilus harrisii (Tasmanian devil). RNAcentral describes it as "lncRNA (ENSSHAG00000023913.1)". The record is from RNAcentral. Lineage: Eukaryota; Metazoa; Chordata; Mammalia; Dasyuromorphia; Dasyuridae.